This 417-nucleotide ribosomal RNA is filed under the name uncultured bacterium. Its description in RNAcentral is "bacterial SSU rRNA". It matches the Rfam family "Bacterial small subunit ribosomal RNA", at positions 355 to 787 of the family's 1533-position model. The record is from RNAcentral.
UCGGGAAUAUUGCGCAAUGGAGGAAACUCUGACGCAGUGACGCCGCGUAUGGGAAGAAGGUUUUCGGAUUGUAAACCAUUUUAGACAAGGAAGAAAAAAGACAGUACUUGUAGAAUAAGCUCCGGCUAACUACGUGCCAGCAGCCGCGGUAAUACGUAGGGAGCAAGCGUUAUCCGGAUUUAUUGGGUGUAAAGGGUGCGUAGACGGGAAGGUAAGUUAGUUGUGAAAUCCCUCGGCUCAACUGAGGAACUGCUACUAAAACUGCUUUUUCUUGAGUACUGGAGAGGAAAGUGGAAUUCCUAGUGUAGCGGUGAAAUGCGUAGAUAUUAGGAGGAACACCAGUGGCGAAGGCGACUUUCUGGACAGUAACUGACGUUGAGGCACGAAAGUGUGGGGAGCAAACAGGAUUAGAUACCC